UCUGGUUGAUCCUGCCAGAGGUCACUGCUAUUAGAAUCCGACUAAGCCAUGCGAGUAUUAUGGUUUUCGAAAGAGGGCUGUAGUGCGAAUUGCUCAGUAACACAUAGCUAACCUGCCCUUAGGCCCUUCAUAAUCCCGGGAAACUGGGGAUAAAGGAGGAUAGGGUUGGAGUUCUGGAAAGAGCCUACUUGAACUAAGGAUGGGGCUAUGACUGAUUAGGUUGUUGUUUGGGGUAACUGCCCAACAAGCCGAUAAUCAGUACCGGUGGUGAGAGCUAGAGCCGGGAGAUGGAUUCUGAGACAUGAAUCCAGGCCCUACGGGGCGCAGCAGGCGCGAAAACUUUGCAAUGUACGAAAGUGCGACAGGGGGAAUCUAAGUGUAUAGCAGCAAUGCUAUGCUUUUGCCAAGGCCAAAGCCCUUGGCGAAUAAGUGGUGGGUAAGACGGGUGGCAGCCGCCGCGGUAAUACCCGCGCCACAAGUGGUGACCGCAAUUAUUGGGUUUAAAGCAUCCGUAGCCGGCCUGAAUAGUCCCUGAUUAAAUCUCUUAUUAACUAAGAGGCUGUCAGGGAUACUAUCAUGCUAGGAACCAGGAGAGGUCUGGGGUACUUUUGGGUAAGGGUGAAAUCUGUUGAUCCCAAAGGGACCACCGAUGGCGAAGGCACCAGACUAGAAUGGCUUCGACGGUGAGGGAUGAAAGCGUGGGGAGCGAUCGGGAUUAGAUACCCCGGUAGUCCACGCUGUAAACGAUGCCCGCUUGGUGUGAGCUGGUCUGUAGGGACCGGCUCGUAUCGUAGAGAAAUCGAUAAGCGGGCCACCUGGGGAGUACGCUCGCAAGGGUGAAACUUAAAGGAAUUGGCGGGGGAGCACAUAAGGGGUGCGGCGUGCGGUUUAAUUGGACUCAACACCGAGAAUCUUACCAGGGGGGACAGCAGUAUGAUGGUCAGCCUAAAGGGCUUACCAGACGAGCUGAGAGGAGUUGCAUGGCUGUCGUCAGCUCGUGCCGUGAGGUGUCCAGUUAAGUCUGGCAACGAGCGAGAUCUACGCUGUUAGUUACCACCGAAAGGGGUACUCUAGCAGGACCGCCGGCGCAAGCCGGAGGAAGGAGUAGGCAACGGCAAGUCCGUAUAGCCCGAAUCUCCUGGGCUACACGCGCGCAACAUUGGUUGGGACAGUGAGUUGCAACACCGUAAGGUGAAGCCAAUCCCUAAACCCAACCUUGGUUCAGAUUGAGGGCUGAAACUCGCCCUCAUGACGGCGGAAUCCCUAGUAAUCGAACGUCAUCAUCGUUCGACGAAUGUAUCCCUGCUCCUUCCACACACUGCCCAUCAAGCCAUCUGAAUAGGGUCUCGAGAGAGAUUUUCUGUUAAAUCGGAAAAUCAAUCUUAGGCUUUGUAAGGAGGGCUAAGUUGUAACAAGGUA
This 1419-nucleotide ribosomal RNA is filed under the name metagenome. RNAcentral describes it as "bacterial SSU rRNA". It matches the Rfam family "Archaeal small subunit ribosomal RNA". The record is from RNAcentral.